GCUUGUCUCAAAGAUUAAGCCAUGCAUGUCUAAGUAUAAACAAAUUUAUAGUGAAACUGCGAAUGGCUCAUUAUAUCAGUUAUAGUUUAUUUGGCGAUAAAAACUACUUGGAUAACCGUAGUAAUUCUAGAGCUAAUACAUGCAUCAAACCCCGACUUUUUGGAAGGGGUGUAUUUAUUAGAUGGAAACCAAUGCGGGGCAACCCGGAUUUUGGUGAUUCAUAAUAACUUUCGGAUCGAUCUUCGGAUCGAUGCAUCAUUCAAGUUUCUGCCCUAUCAGCUUUGGAUGGUAGGGUAUUGGCCUACCAUGGCUUUAACGGGUAACGGAGAAUUAGGGUUCGAUUCCGGAGAGGGAGCCUGAGAAACGGCUACCACAUCCAAGGAAGGCAGCAGG
This 393-nucleotide ribosomal RNA is filed under the name uncultured Chrysophyceae. RNAcentral's name for it is "partial small subunit ribosomal RNA". It matches the Rfam family "Eukaryotic small subunit ribosomal RNA", at positions 30 to 432 of the family's 1831-position model. Lineage: Eukaryota; Chrysophyceae. The record is from RNAcentral.